This is a long non-coding RNA of Seriola dumerili (greater amberjack), 346 nucleotides long. RefSeq lists it as uncharacterized. The record is from RefSeq and is a predicted model, not a curated record. NCBI's taxonomy places the organism in Eukaryota, Metazoa, Chordata, Actinopteri, Carangiformes, Carangidae. The transcript is spliced from 3 exons.
AGGGGGAAUAGCGUUUUGUUUCUUUUUUCUUUAAUUUGUGUCCUUUUAUUCUUUGACGUUUUGUUGUUAUUUAGCUGUAUUGCUCUAAAAGAUCUGACUGCCUUGCUCUUCAGUGCUUGCUCUUUAUCGUUAACGUUCAUGCCGCUCUCCCCUCACGCGGCGCUAUUUUGACAGUCGGGGUCGCAGUGAACCAACUCAAGCUAGCAGCACCAUUAUAUUAGCAUCGACACAACUUGAAGGAUUCUACACACGGACUCAAGACGCAAAACCAGCGAAACGGGCUCCUAACUGGAGGACAGACCAUGCUGCUGCACUGAGCCCGAGGAAAAGAAAAGAGAGAGGCCUC